RNAcentral lists this long non-coding RNA (1684 nucleotides) under Marmota monax (woodchuck). Lineage: Eukaryota; Metazoa; Chordata; Mammalia; Rodentia; Sciuridae. The record is from RNAcentral.
ACAGAAACCUGCAGGCUGUGAGGGUCAGGGAUGCAGGUUCCAGAGGACAGGGACUUGCAGGCAGGGGCCUUCCCACAAGUGCCUGGUGAGGCUGGCACUGAUGUGGCAUCACCAGGGAAGGGAGGAGGCGGUAACUGAGCAGGGGCGGUUGCAGUUUGUGCUUGCACUGAAGACCUGGGAGGGCUCCCACCCACCAGGACUCCCACCCAGGUGCCAGUGAGGUGGGAGACACUGUGCGCUGGAGAGUUGGUGAAGGUGUUCCUGCACCCACUGUCUGACAGGGUCACAGUGUGGGGGAUGCUGUGGCAGGGCCGCACCGUCUGGAAACAAGAACCAUGAGGAAUGUUCAGUGUUUUGGUUAUGAUACUGAUGACAUGGAUAACAGGGCAUAGGUCAAUCAAUAAGAAAAGUACGUAUUGCCUGAGAUUGCACGAAAAUUCCCAGAAUGAGACUAAGGAUACAAUUAAGACAUACCACCAACAGACCCUCCUUCGCCUUACACAGGAAUUUAUGAUGAAAAUGGGGAAAACAUAGUUGGCAUUAAUGGCAAAUGGGUUGAGGCGCAGAGCCUGCCCUUUAGUUAAAGAAUACUGGGUGUACUUUGACCAAGGAUCAAAAAACUCUUUAAGAAAGCAGUUAAAUGGGUCAUAUGAAAAAAGGAAAUUACCUUGGAAAUUAAAAAUAAUGUAAAAUUAACAUAGUUAUAUUUUAGAGGCACUUCAGAGUAGUAGGCUUUUAAGUAAUAGGCUUUCACUAUUUUAAGUGUGUUUCACUGGGACUUUAGAAGUAAGAAAGCUUACCAAUAAUCAUAGGUAUGCUUUAAAGUUAAAGGUUAAUGAAAUAAUUAUAGGUAUGCUUUAAAGUCAAAAGUUAAUAAUAGGUCAAGAGACAUGUAGCCAAGUUGCAUGUUCUAGCACCUAGUGAUUGAGGUAAAAAUGUAAGAGCUUAAUCACGAUUGGCAAAGGUUACAGGAAAAUAUUUUAAACAAUGUACUCAAUAUCUUAGGUAAUCAAUAUAUGUCAGAAAGGAUUGUAACUCUUGAAAAUUAUGUAAAUCAAAGAAGUUCGGGCUUUGAGGCUAUCCAUUAACUACCUGCAAAAAAGGUAUAAAAAUAAAGGCCCUUCUACGGGCAGCAGAUCCUCCUGGAGGCUGCUGUAACAUGCAACCUGUCCUCCUGUCUCUUGUUUUGCGGAGGCCACUCAUCCUUCAGGACCCCUGGAUCCCUGAUGGGGCUGGACCCAAGGCAUCGGACCCCAUCAGGAGCCCACAGCUUGGGUCCAGGAAAGAGGAUGGGGCCCCUGAGGUGGGGAGGCUCACUGGAUUGCGUCCAUCUCCCAGGGAGACCAAGCAUGAUUUGCUCAUGGCCUGGACUGGCGAGCAUCAGAGACCGGCUAGCCGUGGACCCUGGCCUUCCUGACCACAGUGAUGAAGCUGGAGCCCUCCGUGGGCAGCGCGUUGGGGAAGUCCCUGCUGAGACACAGUCCCUCACAGGCUGGGUCUGAGGCGUCUGUUGGAUAUUCCUGUCGAGGGGUGACCUAAUUGAGUCUGAGGUUCAAGAGGCAAAUCUGGAGUUCGCCGUCAUCCAGAUGCGGCUUCAUCUUGGGCUGACCGAGCCCCCCACGGCAGACGUGUAGACUGGGAAGUGGAGACGGCUAAGUCUGGUACAUGGCUACCUUGAGAGAUG